RNAcentral lists this ribosomal RNA (396 nucleotides) under uncultured bacterium. RNAcentral's name for it is "partial 16S ribosomal RNA". It matches the Rfam family "Bacterial small subunit ribosomal RNA", at positions 523 to 918 of the family's 1533-position model. The record is from RNAcentral.
AUACGUAGGGGACAAGCGUUAUCCGGAUUUACUGGGUGUAAAGGGAGCGCAGACGGCAGUGCAAGUCUGAAGUGGAAGCCCGGGGCUCAACCCCGGGACUGCUUUGGAAACUGUUCCGCUAGAGUACUGGAAGGGCAAGCGGAAUUCCUGGUGUAGCGGUGAAAUGCGUAGAUAUCAGGAGGAACACCGGUGGCGAAGGCGGCUUGCUGGACAGCAACUGACGUUGAGGCUCGAGAGCGUGGGGAGCAAACAGGAUUAGAUACCCUGGUAGUCCACGCUGUAAACGAUGAAUACUAGGUGUUGGGAGACUAAGUCUUUCAGUGCCGUCGCAAACGCAGUAAGUAUUCCACCUGGGGAGUACGUUCGCAAGAAUGAAACUCAAAGGAAUUGACGGGG